GGCAUGUAACAAUUUUAACAAAGUCUUCAUAUGUGCUUUGAAAUUUCUUGACAAUUUUCGGUAUAAAUACGGUUUUCUUUUCUUUUCUUUUUCUUUUUUCAGUACUGGGGAUUGAGCCCAGGGGCACUUUACCACUGAGCUACAUCCCCAGCCCUUUUUAAUUUUAAUUUUAUUUUUAUAUGGUUAUUUAUUUGCUUAUAUUCUGUCUUCUCCCAUUAAAAUGCAUGUGACAUUAAAGCAGAUAUUUUCUGUUCACUGUUAAAACUCUAGCACCUAGAACAUGCCCCAUAGGUAAUGGUACUUCAUUAAAUUAACAAAUAGUUACAAGUCUGUAAAGGUAACACAACAUUAAUUUUUUAUUUUGAAACUGGGUGUUGCUAAAUUGUUGAGAUUCUCACUAAUUUGCUAAGGCUGACCUUGAAUUUGUGGUCCUCCUACUUCUAAAUAUGGUUUUCAUAAAAGGAAUCAAUACUAACCCAGUUGAUCUUAAAAACUUGACAUUUGGGGUUAUAGAGCUAAUUUGAGAUUGACCUUCUUUGUAUUUAUUCAUUGAUGGAUUGGGGAAGAUCAAAACCCACAGAUUUCCCUGAUUUCUUUGCUUUUCGUAAUUAAUUUUAACUCUACAGAAAGAGUCUGGACUAUGAAUCCAAAAUCCUACAACUAGUGUCCUUUGUCAUUGUGGCCAGUUGUGUGAUCUUAGACAAGUAACUGUACCUUUCUGAACCUCAGUUUCCUCACCAAUGAAGUGAGAGGGUUGGGGUCGAAUGAGCACCAAAUUCCCUUCGUAAAGGAUGAGGUGGACACAAAUACACACACAUCUGGGGCCUAGACACACACCUGAGUGUCUGUGCCCAUCCCUGGAGGGGAUGCACUAAUGCAGUCAAAGAAACAGUUACAAAUUUGCAAGCACGAGUUCUCAGAAAUAAUCAAGCACACACACAAAUUCACACAAGCAAUUUCUGCCUCAAAUGCAUACACAUACACUAAAAUUCUUCCAUCUUCUUGAGAUGGGAUGAACCAUGGCAGUUUAUAGGCUCUGAUGCCUAUAUUAGCAAGGUAGUGCGUGUCAUUCAAUUACCUGGGUGCUCCUCAAACCAAAAUCCAAUCAACUAGCUCAGAAGAUGGCUAGGUACAUUGUGCCACUGACCCUUUCAAUGUCUUGAACCUCAACGUCAGGGUUCUAAGCUCACCGGAGCCAAAAGCCCCAAGGUUCCUCCCUCAGAUGGGGUCUCUGAAUCUCCCUGCUCUCGUUGGCCUCCUGUCUCAGCAGCGAUCCCAGGAAGGCUGGCCCCAGGCUGCAGAAGCCCCGAGGAGGCCGGAGUCCCCUGAAUAACCGUGGCCUCUCCCCACUGUUGCCCCUCAGCUGACAACAUUGAAGCUGGCUGAGAAAACAACCCCGUGGAAUUCUGUGAAGUCCCAAUAGAGAGAGGGGAAGAGGAAAGGAGGGGAGGGGAGGGGAGAGGACAGAAGAAAGGAAAAUCUAGUGAAUGGAGUCAUUUCACUGGCUUCCCACAUUGUCCUGGGGGUGUCUGACUCAUGAAAUGCUCAUGAAUGUCUUCAUCUGGCUUUAUUUAAGUACCUUUUAUCCUGAAAACUCUCUGUGCUUUCUUCUCAGGCCUCUUUUCUCAAAUCCCCAGCGUCCCCUUCUCCACUUGUUCAAGGUUUCUCCUUUGGCAAGGCCUGGUCAGGCAGCCCCUGUUCCUGCCAGCCCUCCUCUGGACUCUGACUGCCCCGAUGCCUGCAUACCCUGUGGCUCUCAUCUCAGGAAGAAUUGCAGUGUGUGGAGCCAGAAGCUGGUCUGCGUAAAGUUGGCAGUGGAAGUGACAUUUAAAAAGUUAGUUAAUGCAAAUAUUACGUUACCUUCAAUAUUUUGUGGCAAUUGUGGUGUCUGUUCGUUUUUUCACAAUUUGUAAUUUGUUAGAAUUUUUUAUCAUUCUAUAUUAAUGAUUACCCUUGUAUCAGAAUUUGUAUCUGUAAGUCUGUUCUGUUUUCCUCAAAGGGUCCCCCCUAAAACAGCCCAGGCUUCAGGCUCUACGUGGGAACUUUCCUUAGGUCACACUGUGGUAUAGAGCUGCUCCAGGACCAGGUGCUUGGGUCCUGGCCAGGGUUCCCUCCCCACCUUCGAGGGCUUCAGAGUGUAUGUAAACAAUGAACUUGUCCAUUGCUGCGCACACAGGAGGUGCUUAAAAGUACCAUACUCUCUAGAAGAGAUCUUCCUCCAUAGUGAAAAGGAAACCAAGGCCCCAUUUCACCAGGGCUUCACCUGUGAAUCCACACACUGGAGGGUCUCAGGAUGGAAGGCAAUUUAGCGCUGCCCUAAUCCCCUCACAGUGUCUCUGCAGAUGACACCCUCCUGUUGCUAUGACAGGACACCAGCAUAGAGGACUGAGGCCCUUCAAAAUCCAAGAGUCUCUUGAAGACACCAAUACGUCCUUCCAGCCACUCUGAGCAGGUAGAAGGUGCAGCCCAGAAAUCCCACCAGCUGGAGGUCAAAGUCACAGAGCCAGGGUGCUGUAGUGAUUGGUGGUGUGCAGUUUGGGACAGUGAAGGUGAAUUUAGGGGUCACCUUACCUGACCCAUCUCUCCCCUUGGUCUCUCUCUAUCCAGCCCAGAUAGAUACCAGGUCAGUCUCCAGCUAAAUGCCUUCAGGAACAAGGGGCCCCCUCCCACUCAGAAAUUGAUCUAAUUCUUUAUUUAUGUCCAGGGACAUGCUAUGUUCUUCAUUGGAUCCAGAUCUGCCUCAGCCCUCUGGAGUGCCUGGGCGAGCCCAAGUUCUGCCAGGUGAUAGCUUUGCACACAGUGGAGAACAGCGACCACAGGGCACCCCAAGCCUUCAUUUUGCUGGGCUAAUUUUUGCUUUUUGUUAGCUUCUCCUUUUCUGACCCUUUGCUAUGCGGCUUUCCCCUUUCCUUACACUUAACUUUAACAACAUCUCUUAAAACAAAACGGGCCCAACCCUACAGAGGAGGUCUGAGCAGCUGGAGUACAGGAACUGCCCCCCAUCGGGAUCUGACCUGCUUUUACUGUUGCCCAAGAAUCUCUCAUUUUGGGGGCGAAGCAGUGGCUGACAUGCCAAUGAAGCAGGGCCCCUCUCUCAUGAGCUGCCGCUCAACGGGCCUCUGCAGGCCUGUGAUCGUCAUGUGGGUUAUUCGGGAGGGAAAUGUGAGGACGUGCAUCAUUUGCUGAGCGUUGGGAGAGGAAGUGUUACCCAGAUCAGGUGGCGCCCCCCACACACAUGGGAGGAGAGUGUGGGUGACGUCUGAAGUCCAAGCUCAGCCCCAGUGGAUUAAGAGAACUCAGCAAAGAGGAGCAAGAAGGCCCAAACUCGGGCCACAGUGGCAUUGAAUGCCAAGUAUCUGUAGCAAAGUUGCCCUUAUUUUUAACAAAUCCAUCUGAAAGUGCAACAAGAUCUUAGAAGGAUGGCAUUCACAAGUGUUUCGUGAGAAACUAGUAGGUGAUAGGCCAAAACUAAUUUAUGAUCAAGGAGGUUUGGAAAACCCUGGAAUAACUGAAGGUAAGUAGCUUUCUUUUACCAAAGGAUCCCUCAGAGCCUUUAGCACGCUGGUGGGUGACACGAGUCUCCCAGUGGGGGGUGCAGUGUGAGAUUUUGAGGAUGAUCCAUUUUCCACUUGUCCUAGUCUGAAAGAUCUGUCCUAUUGCUGUUUCUGCCCCCCUUGACCCUCUGAGUUCACUCACUCCUUUAGCAGUUGGUGCUCCCAUCCCUCGUGCAAGGAGCUCACAGAUCCCGGGAAGGUCUGCCAUGGAGCUCUGGUCCGGCCCGCCCUGCAGUAGGGACAGGAAGAUGCUUAGGGGAGAGGCUCAAGAGCCCCGUCCAAAGGUCAGAGCUGGAGGGAAGCCGAGGGCACCUCCUUGGAGCACCUGGAGCCACAGGAGGCAAGGUGGCCAGCUGGCAGCUGAAGGACACAGCAGGUCACACAGCCCAAGAGUGGCCGAGGCUGUGCUUAGGUUCAGGGCUCCUAACCACCUUGCCCAUGCUCUGUCUGGCCAUGCUCCGGAGUUUAUGUGCCAGCUCUGAGCUCAACCUCUUGUCCACCUGCUGUGCCCGCCCUGCUCACCCCUCCAUGCUCAGCAGCCAACGGGGCGUCAGGGAGGUGUUUGUGGAGUGAAGCUGUGACGGCACGGUGGGGUCAGAUGGCUUUUACAGUCUCAUCUAGGGCUGAGGCUUGCUGUGGAGUUUGAGCGAGCUGCUAAAACUCAGAGAAAAACCAAGGCAGGAUGUAAGCUGGGCUUGUGUGAUGGGGAAGGCCCAGAAUCAGCAGAGCAGUGGAGGAAAGGACACAGCUGGCCCGGGGAGGGCCCCUCCCAGGGGGUUUCAGGAAAGCCUGGCUGAGUCGUGUCUCCCGUGGGAGAUACCCUCACGCAAGGCCAUGUGGUGCUUCAGGGCUGUCUUCAAGGACUCACCCGUCAGAUCCUGGAGCUCACCUGAAUCAACCAAUGGUUUGUCUGCAUUGGCCGAAGUUGCUUUUUCUUUAGGCAAAUUUUAACCACAGCUAUGGAUGCCUAACAAUAAGGAUGGUCAUCACUGAGCACUUGCUGUGGCCCACACCGUGCUAACUGUACCUCCAUAAUCUCGGUUAAUCCUCAAAACAACCCUAUAAAACCAGUCUGAUUAUCAUCAGUCCCAUUUUGCAAUUAAUGAAACUGAGGCACAGAGAUAUCAAUUAACAUGCCUAACUCACACAGCUAGUGAGUGUCAGAUACCCAAGCUUCCAGCCCGGUGGACUGAAUUCAGUGUCUUUGUUUUUGCAUGGCUAUUGGUGGUAGUGGUAGUGUGUCCACUGUCACCUUUCCAAAGACUGAACAUGGAAAAGUUCAAAUGUAAACAAAAGUUGGGAGAACUGCCCAGAGAAGAACCUCUACACCCCCAUUUCCCAGCGGCGAUGGCUGUUGACUCGAGGUCAGUCUGUAGCCUCCCACCUCCCCCUCCCAUCACCGUGGAUUUUUAAAAAAAUAAAUACCAUAUAUUAUAUAAUUCCAUCCAUAGAUCUUUUAGUGUGCAUCUCUAAAAUAUAAGGAUGAAUCCUCACUCUCAACAACAAUUUAUACCCUCCUGACUGAGAAGUACCCUGGACAGGUUACCCGCGUGGUCCUGCAAAAGAUGGAAAAAAGGCUAGCCACUGGCCCAAACAGCUGAGCCUGGGAACACAGAGGCAACUGGCUCACGGGGCCGCCUGUCCCCAGGCGUCACCUCACAGCCUAGCCAAAUGACCUCUCUGAGCCUUCUUGGAAUAGCUUCAUGUGACUCGAAGCCCCUGCCAUCAGUCUGGAUUCUCUAGAGAUGGGGGACAACUGGUGGGGGUGGUCUUCUGUGUGGUGGGGUUGUUGCCAUGAGGACGCGCCUUCUGAGGCCAGUCUGUCCUGGAUUCCCUGCCUGGCCACGCCCCGAAUCGCAGUUCCUGCUUCAGGAAGAUUUAGUAUCUCAUUUGCAUUCUCGUCCAGUCUGAGAGCAAGAAGUACAGAGGAGAUGGAGACAAAGCACUGGAAUCAGAGAUUCACUGUGCCUCUCUUAAUAUAGGACGAUUGUAUCGCCUUUCUCAUCUGCAGAAGUGGGAACAUACACCUAUGUCCCAACCAGCUUGUGAAUGUCCGAGGAGAUGGGCAAGUUUUAUUAAAUUGUUGGGCUAGAAGAGGGCGCAGUACCGCAAUGGCCAGCAGGUGUCGCCCAAAGACUGAGUAUCAGAAACCUCUAGGCCAGGAGGGGGCUACUCCUUGGAGAUUAUCUUCUAAUAUUAAAUCCAGGUGGACUUGGAAGAAACAGAAAAAAAAAAAAAAAAAACCACAGCCUAUAGUGUUUCUCCUUAGAAAAGUUGGGCCGUGUCAGCCUAAACACGGAGGUAAAAGUGGAGUUGUACAGCCUUCCGAGCAUGCAUACCUGAAGACACCCGGGCAAGAUGGCCAGUCUGGCUUCAUCUAUGGCUUCUCACCUCCCCCCUCAUCACCAUGGAUUUUUUUUUUAAAGAAAAUACCAUGUAUUAUAUAAUUCCAUCCAUAAUCUAAAAGAUAAGGCUGAACCCUCAUUCUCAACCACAAUACUUUAUGCCCCUCUAAGAAGUACCCUGGGUCAGGGGGACCCCGUCCUACCCCCACACACCCCGUUUUACAAAUGAGGACAUUGAGGCUUUGGAAAGCAAGUGACUUGCUAAAUACGCAGUCACUGCAGGACGGAGCUGGGACUCCAGUCAACUCUGAUUCCAUAUUCUGGACUGGUGCUGAGACGCACCCCUCCAGGCCAGACCUUGGGGAGGAACUCAAGACUGCAGCUGUCCUUGCUCUUCGGGGAAAGAAGAAAAGGCACAGGUGCACAGAAGGCCUGGCCUGUGACAUGCUGUCUUCUGCAAACAACACUCUCUGGGUCUCAGAUUCUGCUGUUCAUUGAUGAGGUUGAACGAGAUCAACGGCUCUCGAACCCAACUGCACACACACAAGCACACACACAGGAGCUCAGAGCAGAGGGGAGCCAGCCUUCCCAGGCUGCAGAGUUAGGGGCCCAUAUUUUACAUUUCCCAGGUAUUUGGAUGCGAGCAGCUUCACAUAGUCUUGGGCCCUGGGACCCCCGUGCAUUUGCACUAGAGGCUCCUCUAUGGAUUUUGAGUCUGUAGUUUCACAAACAAUUUCACCUCAUCUUGUGGGAACACCCAACACAGCUGGCACAUAUUCUAUAUGCAAAUGUUCGAUUAAAAUUUGUAGAAUGAAUGACUGAAAAACAUGCCAACCCAGGGAAAACUAGCCUUCACCUCUCAAUGAAAUCACUCUACCUUUAAGUAGCACUUUCUGGUUUGCACAUCUCAUUUACACACUCGAUCUCAGUCAAGUUCCCAAUGAUGGCUGUUAUCAUCCCCAUCUUACAGAUGAGCAAACUGAACCUCAGAGACCCAGUGCUGCCCAGCUGGAUGGAGAGCAGCACCUCACACCCUGUCUGCGACCCCCAUACACUGUUCCUGCUUCAUGUUGGUUUCAUCGAGAGAUCUAAAAAGAGGAAAAUGUGGGAUCUAGAAGAAAACAAGUCUUCCAGAACUAUCUGGCAGUGCCUUGGAUUUGGGAGAGGUGAUUUUUAUGAGUUUGUCCAAAGAUUAGGAUCAGGGGGAGUCUGCCUUGUUUGGUGAAGGGCUCCAUACAGAGAUCCAGGGUGGGGUGGACAGGUCCCCCACAGGUAGCCCAGAACCCCCGUCACACCUAUCCUCCCCAGAAGAGCAGUUUGGGAGGGGCUGGAGCGAGCCUCCCCCAGCUCUCCCUGGUCCCUCGGGGUGGCUCUGCUCUCCGUAGAGUGCCUGGCCACCUUGGACCUGCCGGUGCGUCUCUGCAGCCCUGUGCUACAGCCCUGUGCUGGGAAUCUGGUUGAAGCCUCCCCUAGUGCCCCAGGGUGGGUGGCGGAGCUGCAGGUGGCUGCACAGCACCAUGCGGGGGGCCACGUGGGGAUCUCAGCCACGCAGCCCCGCCCUCCACCCCAAGUUGGGUCUCAGCGGCAAGGCUGGAAUCUGGGCUCACUUCCUGCCCCAGUCUGUGUCUAGUAGGCCUCGGCUGGAAGGGACACACAGUAUCCUCCAGUCUGGGUCCCUUGUUCUCCACUGAGGGGGCCCAGACCCAAGGAGGGGCCCAGGAGGGGACGGUGGGCCGGACCAUGACCCACCCUCUGAGUCUAUGUGGUGGCUUAAAUGGGGCUGAGGAGUGUGGGGGGCUGGGACCUGUGGUUGCACCAGUCUCUCCCCAGCGACUGGACAGAUGAAGGUGGACUUAGGGGCCUUACCUCUUUGCCCUCCCUGAACACUAUGUCCUGAGAAGAAAGUGCUGGACAGAAUUUCCCCAAACAUAAAAACAUUGAGAAGAAGGGGCUUCGGUGCUUGGCAGGGUCCAGGAAAGCUAGUGUCACUGAGAAUCAGCACCGUGGAGUCCCAGAGACAACGCUCCUAACUGUACUGCCCACCGGGGGCUGGCAUCCAGCAAGGAACCUCCACAAGUUAGAGAUUAUUUCUCCAUUGGGGAAACUGAGGCAAGGGGCCUUUGCCCAUCAUUGUAUAGUGGACUGGGGUCCAGGUCUGCUGAUUCCCAAGGCUGUGGUCACAUCGGUGUUGCCAAAAAGAUGAAAUGGUGGCUGUCACCAGGACAGAUCUCAAGGAUCCUCCACCUCAGGUAAGCACACACACCCACUGCCAACUCUACCCAACAGUUCUCCUGGGUCCCAGUACAGUGGCUAACCACCCAUCAUUCAUUCAUUCCUGCAGCCUGUCAAUAGCAGGUUCAUACAACAUGCUUUUAUUGAGCAUAGGCUAUGUGCCCCCUGGGGAUUGAUGGGUGAACCAUCAGAUGCAAUCCCAGCCUUCAUGUAGCUUGUAGGCAGUGGGGCUCAGGAACAAAGGGAUGGUCAGAGCAGGGAGAUGGGGGAUCCCUGGUAGGUCCCCAGGAUGCUGGGGAGGGGUUUCAGGAAGGGUCCUAGAGCAGUCAGCCUCAGCCUGGCCCUCCCACUCCUGCCCCUGGGAGGCUGUCUAGGGGCUCAGGCCUCUCCUGAUUGACUUUAUGAACCUGUGGAGACCAUUUGGUCUGCAGACACAAGACCUGAAAUACUAUUUGCUGUAGAGAGAGGACACUGAGUUCCAUCGGGCGGCGCUGGGCUCACAUUCAGUUACUGAUUGAUCCGCGUUGCAGGGAACCAGGACCAGAGAAGGCAACGUGCCCCUGGCCGCCUGCUAAGCCGGCCUGGGCACCUCCAAUUUGCCAGGUGUGUCCUGUCGGCCUUCUUCCCUGGCCAAGCCUCUCUGCUCUUGCGACAGGAAGAAGCAAGUGUACACUUGUGGGUAUGUGUGGUAUGUUCCUUUUCUCUAAGAAAAAGCCACCCUGGGGCAAGGGGAUUAGCUACAACUCCACCACUGCUUCCCCUCAGAAGUCACAGCCUCUUGACUUUCAAGAUGAAGCUUAGAAAUUUGUCUUGUGUUUGUUUUUUCUGAAACCAAGCCCAGAGACAGACAAGGACCUGCCCAAGGUCACACAGCAGGCCCAGGACAAAGCUUCUAGUGACACUAGUUUCACCUUCCACAGUGUGGACUGUGUGGGAGCCACAGCACUAACUGCUGCCCCAGCUUGGAACUUCUCCUCCUCUACCUCCCUCCUGCUGCACGCACCUGGGGGAUUCCUUUGGGUGACACUACAGGAGCUCUUUGAGGAAGAACAGUGAGAAUUUCUUUAAAAAGAGAACCAAGUUUAGGGAUCUAGAGACAAAUAGCCUCCACAAGAGACAGAAAGCCUCCUGGGGCAGAGGAGACUAUGGGAUGUCACUCACAGCAGAGCAGACAGCCCAGCAAGUUCUGGAAACUGCAAACCAGGGUUUGAGGAGCAGCAACUUCGGAAGGUGACUCACCCCAGUGCCUUCCAGGCACGAGACCCGCCCCGAGCCACCUCCCCUUGCCUCCUUGGGCUUCUGGUGGCAGGUGGAAGCCCUGGAUGCUAAGGUUCAAAGUUCUAAACUCUUUCAAGCCCUCAAAGUCUACCGCAAACACACAAUGGGGCUGGUCUGGGAGGCUCCUUGGGCAGCCAGAGCCUGGGAGGGGACACCAACACUGAGCCACGGGCUUCUUCCUGGGCUGGGACACUUGGCUGCUCCUGUUUCUCCCAGCUCAGCUACUGUCCCCCUAAUGCCCCUGACUGGGGCUGCCCUGGCCCGAUCUCUGAAGCCCAGGUCUGACAUCUUCCCAGCUGCCAUGGAAGCGUCGCGUGGACACCGUAAUUGUCUCUGAUCUCCCCUGGCCUGGCCAGGUGGCUGAAGAAUGGGUCCCCAGGGAGGAGCAGGUUACCCUCCCCAAGAGGCCACAGCGGUACUGCAGUUCAGAGCUCAGCCGUCUGGGGCAGAGGAUGGACAGGGAGGAGACACAUCUCCUGGUAGCAGCCCCAUUCCCCAGGAGCGAAGAGGAGAAAGGAGGAGUGUGGACCUCAGGAAGAUUCAACCCUCACUAAGUGGGUACCACCCCCCAACUGCCCAGGGUGCCCUCUCUUUUAACUAAAGUAGCCAGCGAGCUACUCAAGGCCAGUUCUUUGGGGCACCCUUCCUCGACCUGGGAGAGUUCAAGAUUGCUGGGCAGGGGAAGGGUCUCCUUCAAGGUCCCAAGCCAUUUAGAAAAGUUGGAGGCUCGUGCCGGUAGCACCUCACUCUGGACAGAAUACCAGCCCCAGCCCCAGCCUCUGCCUGGCUGCUCUGAUGAGCAAACCCAGUCCAGGAAGGAGAGGCUCUGCCCAGGCCUCCCAGCCAAGGAUGUCAUCCCAGUGCGGGCUUUUUGUUCUCACUGCGAGUCCCCCCGUCUAUGGGAUGGACAGAGGCUGGGUGAGAGUGGGCUGUGGAUUAUUUUUAAAUCACUUCAAUGUUUUAUGAAUUUAAAAAGCAAAGGCAUCCUUCUGAGUGAAUAGAUGGAAGGCCAAUAACACUUCUGGAAAUUUCAGCUACUAUGAAUUGGAUCAAAAAAUGUUCAUUCAUUCAUAGUUUGUGGUUUGAGCAUGGGACAGGGCUAAUCCUUUGCCCACCCAGAACUUUGUGUCCAGUUUUUGCUGAGAGUGUUGUAAGGAAGUCAGGCCAGGCAAAGGCCCUGUGGUCCCACUGCCCAACGCCAGCAUUUUUUGGCCUUUGUUGUCCUGAGAAGCACUCUCUUGGGGGAGCUGGGAUGACACAGAUGGGGCAAGGCUGAGCUUUGUGCCCCUCAACAGAAAGCUCCCCUCCCCCACCCAGCCUGCCCACUUUGGCUUUCACCUUGAUUGGCCUUGACUUUCAACUCCACAUUGAAGUUACCUGGGAAAGUUUGAAAACCAUGCUGCCCCGAGGAUCCCAUCAGAAUCCACAGCUGGGGCUGCACCCGGCAACCCACCUCCUCUUCCCCCACCUCACAAGGGUCCCUUCUUGGUGUGUCCCUACCAGGGUCCUGAUCAAGAUGUUGACUCAAACUAUGGGGUUCGAAGUUUCAUGGCUGUCCCAGGCUUCGGGAAAGUGUAGAUCAUAUAUGGCUUCUGUUCUGGAAGGAGUGGGGCUCAAGAUCCGGCAGCCAAGAAUUACUAUACAGCAGGGCAAGUACUGUCCCUGAGACAGGAGGCAGGCAUGGGGUAUACAGACAAAAUGAAAAGAGCUCAGGGCUUUUCCAGGAAAUCGGGGUGCAUGGCAGACUAUUCGGGUGCCCCCUCCUCCCUGGCAAAGACCCUUGGAAAGACUGUUUUGCAAAAAAGCCAUUGGAGGGGAUUCCGAGUAGGGCACUGGUUCCCUCUGGUGGUGAUAGUGGGAAUUGCACCCCAGACAGGGGCUGUGUCCCAGCUGUUUGAUGGACAGUAAUUCAUUCUUGCUUCCUG
Molecule: long non-coding RNA, 11334 nt
Filed under: Marmota monax (woodchuck)
Lineage: Eukaryota; Metazoa; Chordata; Mammalia; Rodentia; Sciuridae
Source: RNAcentral